This 3005-nucleotide ribosomal RNA is filed under the name Salmonella enterica. RNAcentral describes it as "bacterial LSU rRNA". It matches the Rfam family "Bacterial large subunit ribosomal RNA". Lineage: Bacteria; Pseudomonadati; Pseudomonadota; Gammaproteobacteria; Enterobacterales; Enterobacteriaceae. The record is from RNAcentral.
UUAAGCGACUAAGCGUACACGGUGGAUGCCCUGGCAGUCAGAGGCGAUGAAGGGCGUGCUAAUCUGCGAUAAGCGCCGGUAAGGUGAUAUGAACCGUUAUAACCGGCGAUACCCGAAUGGGGAAACCCAGUGUGACUCGUCACACUAUCAUUAACUGAAUCCAUAGGUUAAUGAGGCGAACCGGGGGAACUGAAACAUCUAAGUACCCCGAGGAAAAGAAAUCAACCGAGAUUCCCCCAGUAGCGGCGAGCGAACGGGGAGGAGCCCAGAGCCUGAAUCAGCAUGUGUGUUAGUGGAAGCGUCUGGAAAGGCGCGCGAUACAGGGUGACAGCCCCGUACACAAAAGCGCAUGUGCUGUGAGCUCGAUGAGUAGGGCGGGACACGUGGUAUCCUGUCUGAAUAUGGGGGGACCAUCCUCCAAGGCUAAAUACUCCUGACUGACCGAUAGUGAACCAGUACCGUGAGGGAAAGGCGAAAAGAACCCCGGCGAGGGGAGUGAAAAAGAACCUGAAACCGUGUACGUACAAGCAGUGGGAGCCCCACCACUAAGCCAGUGGUGAACUCCACAUACGCAUCCUUUGCUGAGGAUACGGUUAACGGAGCGAAAGCGACGUUCAACCGCAAAAGAAGCAGAGGGGGCUUAGUGGUGGGGUGACUGCGUACCUUUUGUAUAAUGGGUCAGCGACUUAUAUUCUGUAGCAAGGUUAACCGUAUAGGGGAGCCGCAGGGAAACCGAGUCUUAACCGGGCGUUAAGUUGCAGGGUAUAGACCCGAAACCCGGUGAUCUAGCCAUGGGCAGGUUGAAGGUUGGGUAACACUAACUGGAGGACCGAACCGACUAAUGUUGAAAAAUUAGCGGAUGACCUGUGGCUGGGGGUGAAAGGCCAAUCAAACCGGGAGAUAGCUGGUUCUCCCCGAAAGCUAUUUAGGUAGCGCCUCGUGAAUUCAUCUCCGGGGGUAGAGCACUGUUUCGGCUAGGGGGCCAUCCCGGCUUACCAACCCGAUGCAAACUGCGAAUACCGGAGAAUGUUAUCACGGGAGACACACGGCGGGUGCUAACGUCCGUCGUGAAGAGGGAAACAACCCAGACCGCCAGCUAAGGUCCCAAAGUCAUGGUUAAGUGGGAAACGAUGUGGGAAGGCCCAGACAGCCAGGAUGUUGGCUUAGAAGCAGCCAUCAUUUAAAGAAAGCGUAAUAGCUCACUGGUCGAGUCGGCCUGCGCGGAAGAUGUAACGGGGCUAAACCAUGCACCGAAGCUGCGGCAGCGACGCUGAUGCGUUGUUGGGUAGGGGAGCGUUCUGUAAGCCUGCGAAGGUGGCCUGUGAGGGUUGCUGGAGGUAUCAGAAGUGCGAAUGCUGACAUAAGUAACGAUAAAGCGGGUGAAAAGCCCGCUCGCCGGAAGACCAAGGGUUCCUGUCCAACGUUAAUCGGGGCAGGGUGAGUCGACCCCUAAGGCGAGGCCGAAAGGCGUAGUCGAUGGGAAACGGGUUAAUAUUCCCGUACUUGGUGUUACUGCGAAGGGGGGACGGAGAAGGCUAUGUUGGCCGGGCGACGGUUGUCCCGGUUUAAGCGUGUAGGUGUGUGUUCCAGGUAAAUCCGGUUCACUUUAACACUGAGGCGUGACGACGAGGCACUACGGUGCUGAAGCAACAAAUGCCCUGCUUCCAGGAAAAGCCUCUAAGCAUCAGGUAACAUCAAAUCGUACCCCAAACCGACACAGGUGGUCAGGUAGAGAAUACCAAGGCGCUUGAGAGAACUCGGGUGAAGGAACUAGGCAAAAUGGUGCCGUAACUUCGGGAGAAGGCACGCUGACACGUAGGUGAAGUGAUUUACUCAUGGAGCUGAAGUCAGUCGAAGAUACCAGCUGGCUGCAACUGUUUAUUAAAAACACAGCACUGUGCAAACACGAAAGUGGACGUAUACGGUGUGACGCCUGCCCGGUGCCGGAAGGUUAAUUGAUGGGGUCAGCGCAAGCGAAGCUCCUGAUCGAAGCCCCGGUAAACGGCGGCCGUAACUAUAACGGUCCUAAGGUAGCGAAAUUCCUUGUCGGGUAAGUUCCGACCUGCACGAAUGGCGUAAUGAUGGCCAGGCUGUCUCCACCCGAGACUCAGUGAAAUUGAACUCGCUGUGAAGAUGCAGUGUACCCGCGGCAAGACGGAAAGACCCCGUGAACCUUUACUAUAGCUUGACACUGAACAUUGAGCCUUGAUGUGUAGGAUAGGUGGGAGGCUUUGAAGCGUGGACGCCAGUCUGCGUGGAGCCGACCUUGAAAUACCACCCUUUAAUGUUUGAUGUUCUAACGUGGACCCGUAAUCCGGGUUGCGGACAGUGUCUGGUGGGUAGUUUGACUGGGGCGGUCUCCUCCUAAAGAGUAACGGAGGAGCACGAAGGUUGGCUAAUCCUGGUCGGACAUCAGGAGGUUAGUGCAAUGGCAUAAGCCAGCUUGACUGCGAGCGUGACGGCGCGAGCAGGUGCGAAAGCAGGUCAUAGUGAUCCGGUGGUUCUGAAUGGAAGGGCCAUCGCUCAACGGAUAAAAGGUACUCCGGGGAUAACAGGCUGAUACCGCCCAAGAGUUCAUAUCGACGGCGGUGUUUGGCACCUCGAUGUCGGCUCAUCACAUCCUGGGGCUGAAGUAGGUCCCAAGGGUAUGGCUGUUCGCCAUUUAAAGUGGUACGCGAGCUGGGUUUAGAACGUCGUGAGACAGUUCGGUCCCUAUCUGCCGUGGGCGCUGGAGAACUGAGGGGGGCUGCUCCUAGUACGAGAGGACCGGAGUGGACGCAUCACUGGUGUUCGGGUUGUCAUGCCAAUGGCACUGCCCGGUAGCUAAAUGCGGAAGAGAUAAGUGCUGAAAGCAUCUAAGCACGAAACUUGCCCCGAGAUGAGUUCUCCCUGAGACUUUAGGUCUCCUGAAGGAACGUUGAAGACGACGACGUUGAUAGGCCGGGUGUGUAAGCGCAGCGAUGCGUUGAGCUAACCGGUACUAAUGAACCGUGAGGCUUAACCUU